RNAcentral lists this ribosomal RNA (1498 nucleotides) under uncultured bacterium. RNAcentral describes it as "bacterial SSU rRNA". It matches the Rfam family "Bacterial small subunit ribosomal RNA". The record is from RNAcentral.
AGAGUUUGAUCAUGGCUCAGAUUGAACGCUGGCGGCAGCCCUUAUACAUGCAAGUCGAACGAGAAAGUUCCUUCGGGAGCGAGUAAAGUGGCGGACGGGUGAGUAACGCGUAGGAAUCUACCUUUCAGUGGGGGAUAGCUCGGGGAAACUCGAAUUAAUACCGCAUACACCCUUCGGGGGAAAGGGGGCCUCUCCUUGGAAGCUCUCGCUGUUAGAUGAGCCUGCGUGAGAUUAGCUUGUUGGUAAGGUAAUGGCUUACCAAGGCUACGAUCUCUAGCUGGUCUGAGAGGACGAUCAGCCACACUGGGACUGAGACACGGCCCAGACUCCUACGGGAGGCAGCAGUAGGGAAUAUUGGACAAUGGGGGAAACCCUGAUCCAGGCAUGCCGCGUGUGUGAAGAAGGCCUUAGGGUUGUAAAGCACUUUAAGUGAGGAAGAAAAGAUUUAAAUUAAUACUUUAAAUCCCUGACAUUACUCACAGAAUAAGGACCGGCUAACUCCGUGCCAGCAGCCGCGGUAAUACGGAGGGUCCAAGCGUUAAUCGGAAUUACUGGGCGUAAAGCGCGCGUAGAUGGUUUAUUCAGUUGGGUGUGAAAUCCCUGGGCUCAACCUAGGAACUGCAUUCAAAACUUAUAAACUAGAGUACGAAAGAGGAGAGUAGAAUUCAUGGUGUAGCGGUGAAAUGCGUAGAGAUCAUGAGGAAUACCAGUGGCGAAGGCGACUCUCUGGUUCGAGACUGACAUUGAGGUGCGAAAGCGUGGGUAGCAAACAGGAUUAGAUACCCUGGUAGUCCACGCCGUAAACGAUGAGAACUAGCCGUUGGAUUUUUAGAUUCAGUGGCGCAGCUAACGCAUUAAGUUCUCCGCCUGGGGAGUACGGCCGCAAGGCUAAAACUCAAAUGAAUUGACGGGGGCCCGCACAAGCGGUGGAGCAUGUGGUUUAAUUCGAUGCAACGCGAAGAACCUUACCAACCCUUGACAUCCAGUGGAAGUUUUAGAGAUAAAACUGUGCCUUUGGGAACACUGUGACAGGUGUUGCAUGGCUGUCGUCAGCUCGUGUCGUGAGAUGUAUGGUUAAGUCCAGUAACGAGCGCAACCCUUAUCCUUAUUUGCCAGCACUUCGGGUGGGAACUAUAGGGAGACUGCCGUGAAUAACACGGAGGAAGGUGGGGACGACGUCAAGUCAUCAUGGCCCUUACGGGUUGGGCUACACACGUGCUACAAUGGGAGAUACAGAUGGUUGCGAAAGCGCGAGCUGGAGCUAAUCCCACAAAGUCUUCCUCAGUCCGGAUUGGAGUCUGCAACUCGACUCCAUGAAGUAGGAAUCGCUAGUAAUCGCGAAUCAGAAUGUCGCGGUGAAUACGUUCUCGGGCCUUGUACACACCGCCCGUCACGUCAUGGGAGUGUGUUGUACCAGAAGUGGCUUGCCUAACCUUCGGGAGGGCGGCCCCCACGGUAUGAUACGCGACUGGGACGAAGUCAUAACAAGGUAGCCGUA